AUUGAACGCUGGCGGUAUGCUUAACACAUGCAAGUCGAACGGGGGUAGCAAUACCUUAGUGGCGGACGGGUGAGUAAUACAUAGGAAUCUGCCUUGUAGUGGGGGACAACUUGGGGAAACUCAAGCUAAUACCGCACACGACCUACGGGUGAAAGGGGGCUUCGGCUCUCGCUAUAAGAUGAGCCUAUGUCUGAUUAGCUAGUUGGUGGGGUAAAGGCCUACCAAGGCGACGAUCAGUAGCUGGUCUGAGAGGACGACCAGCCACACUGGGACUGAGACACGGCCCAGACUCCUACGGGAGGCAGCAGUGGGGAAUAUUGGACAAUGGGCGCAAGCCUGAUCCAGCAAUACCGCGUGUGUGAAGAAGGCCUGCGGGUUGUAAAGCACUUUAAGUUGGGAAGAAAAGCUAUGUGUUAAUACCACAUAGUGUUGACGUUACCAACAGAAUAAGCACCGGCUAACUCUGUG
Molecule: ribosomal RNA, 468 nt
Filed under: uncultured bacterium
Lineage: Bacteria
Description: bacterial SSU rRNA
Rfam family: Bacterial small subunit ribosomal RNA
Source: RNAcentral